RNAcentral lists this transfer RNA (72 nucleotides) under Plenaster craigi. RNAcentral's name for it is "tRNA-Gln". It matches the Rfam family "tRNA". From Rfam's summary of the family: Transfer RNA (tRNA) molecules are approximately 80 nucleotides in length. Lineage: Eukaryota; Metazoa; Porifera; Demospongiae; Axinellida; Stelligeridae. The record is from RNAcentral.
GCAAGGUUGGCCAAAAAGGCAAGGCUACAAGGUUUGGUCUUGUGAGUAGGGGUUCGAUUCCACUACCUUGCG